This is a long non-coding RNA of Dunckerocampus dactyliophorus (ringed pipefish), 672 nucleotides long. RefSeq lists it as uncharacterized. The transcript has 3 exons. Lineage: Eukaryota; Metazoa; Chordata; Actinopteri; Syngnathiformes; Syngnathidae. The record is from RefSeq and is a predicted model, not a curated record.
CUGAGCCAUUGUGAGGUCUGAUUUUUUUUGAGGAGGCAUUUUUGUCAUGCAAAUGUCUUACUCUUUCGAAGGCAUAUUGGUUUGAGAAACCAAACUCUUAAGUAACCCCAAUAACUAACAAACUAGGUUUCUGACCAGAACUGGACUCACGGCUCACAGAACUGGGGGGUAUGUCACUGUUGAUGGACUACACCGCUGAUGGGGAUGUCAUACAACCUCAUGUAACUCGUCUUCUACUCAGGUGCAAGAGCAAGUCCGAGUCACUUCAGGUCAGGCCACCCUUAGCAGCAACAACUGCAAUCAAGUGUUUCUGAUAACUUGCAAUGAGUCUCUUACAGUGCUGUGGAGGAAUUUUGGCCCACUCAUCUUUGCAGAAUUGUUGUAAUUCAGCCACAUUGGAAGGUUUUCCAGCAUGAAGCACCUUUUAAACGUCAUGCCACAGCAUCUCAAUAGGAUUCAGGAAAAAAUGGAUUCUACAUUGUGGAGGUCAAACGGAAUCUCAGGAUGGAUUGUGUUCCACCACCUGUGAGGGAAAAGGGAGGUGUCUAUUUGAGCGGAGGAGGCUGAUUGGGUGCAAGGAGGAGGAGGCUGAUCCUAUCUUGUGAUCAGUGACCUCAAGAACAGCGAGGAGCGCGAGAUGGGGGGCUUUGGCGGGGGUGGGGAAAACGGGGC